CCCGCUGAGUUUAAGCAUAUCAAUAAGCGGAGGAAAAGAACUA
This 43-nucleotide ribosomal RNA is filed under the name Combretum goldieanum. Its description in RNAcentral is "partial 28S ribosomal RNA". Lineage: Eukaryota; Viridiplantae; Streptophyta; Magnoliopsida; Myrtales; Combretaceae. The record is from RNAcentral.